AGAGUUUGAUCCUGGCUCAGAAUCAACGCUGGCGGCGUGCCUAACACAUGCAAGUCGAACGAGAAAGGGUAGCAAUACCUGAGUAAAGUGGCGCACGGGUGAGUAACACGUGACUAACCUACCUUUUAGUGGGGGAUAACCUAGGGAAACCUGGGCUAAUACCGCAUAACACUUACGAGUCAAAGCAGCAAUGCGCUGAAAGAGGGGGUCGCAGCCGAUUAGCUAGUUGGUGGGGUAAUGGCCCACCAAGGCAGUGAUCGGUAUCCGGCCUGAGAGGGCGCACGGACACACUGGAACUGAAACACGGUCCAGACUCCUACGGGAGGCAGCAGUGGGGAAUUUUGCGCAAUGGGGGAAACCCUGACGCAGCAACGCCGCGUGGAGGAUGAAGUCCCUUGGGACGUAAACUCCUUUCGAUCGGGACGAUAAUGACGGUACCGGAAGAAGAAGCCCCGGCUAACUUCGUGCCAGCAGCCGCGGUAAUACGAGGGGGGCAAGCGUUGUUCGGAAUUAUUGGGCGUAAAGGGUGCGUAGGUGGUUCGGCAAGUCUUGUGUGAAAUCUUCAGGCUCAACUUGAAGUCUGCACAAGAAACUGCCGGGCUUGAGUAUGGGAGAGGUGAGUGGAAUUUCCGGUGUAGCGGUGAAAUGCGUAGAUAUCGGAAGGAACACCUGUGGCGAAAGCGGCUCACUGGACCAUUACUGACACUGAGGCACGAAAGCUAGGGGAGCAAACAGGAUUAGAUACCCUGGUAGUCC
RNAcentral lists this ribosomal RNA (756 nucleotides) under uncultured bacterium. Its description in RNAcentral is "bacterial SSU rRNA". It matches the Rfam family "Bacterial small subunit ribosomal RNA", at positions 8 to 796 of the family's 1533-position model. The record is from RNAcentral.